AUGUGUAUAUACACACCGAUAGAAAAUGAGUGGUCUGUAAGUUCAAGUUGGGCCUUGGGAUCAUGGCCCAUAGGAGGCCUCAGAUGGCAGGCAUGGUGGAAGGGAUGGAGGCACGUGCCUCUCUGGACCAAGGCACAGACGAAAGGCAGCCUCUGGGAGCAGGGGUUCAGUUCAGCUGGUUGCCACACCAGAGAGAAGAGUGGGAUUAGAAUUCAGGCCACAAACAGAGCUGCAGUGUGGUCUUCGAAGACUUGUUGUUGUAGUUCUGCAGCAGUUGCUGCUAUGCAUAUGCUUAGGGAUAUGCCACCUCCUUCAGAAAGUGGCCUUAAUCCUCCAAAUGGGAGUGAAUCUCCCCACAUCAGUGCUCAGGCUGUGGGUCUGAGGCCUUUAUUAUCUUACCCACUAAUACAUCCUGCCAUUAUGUCCCAG
RNAcentral lists this long non-coding RNA (429 nucleotides) under Homo sapiens (human). RNAcentral describes it as "non-protein coding lnc-LGALSL-3:1". The record is from RNAcentral. Lineage: Eukaryota; Metazoa; Chordata; Mammalia; Primates; Hominidae.